AUGGAGGUGAACCGGCGGUUCAUACACGGCGAGCUGGCCCUCCUUAUGGCUUGCAAGGAGUGGGAGCUGGGCGGCAGCAAGAGGGCCGACGACUGCCCGAUCUGCUUGGAUGGCCUGGAGCUGGAAGGACAGCCCGCCGUGGAGCUGCCGUGCAAGCACCCGUUCCACAGCCAGUGCAUUUCCACAUGGUUUUCUAAGAAGACAACUUGCCCGAUGUGCCGUGGCGACGUGAGGCUCUGCGCUCUGCCGGAGUUUCUCAACCUGUAG
RNAcentral lists this ribosomal RNA (267 nucleotides) under Triticum aestivum (bread wheat). RNAcentral's name for it is "partial small subunit ribosomal RNA". The record is from RNAcentral. Lineage: Eukaryota; Viridiplantae; Streptophyta; Magnoliopsida; Poales; Poaceae.